RNAcentral lists this long non-coding RNA (2667 nucleotides) under Salmo salar (Atlantic salmon). RNAcentral describes it as "lncRNA (ENSSSAG00000105733.1)". The record is from RNAcentral. Lineage: Eukaryota; Metazoa; Chordata; Actinopteri; Salmoniformes; Salmonidae.
GAUAGACUUAACAGGGAAGUCUGUUGUUGCUACAUCCAUUUUUGGAAUUAUAAAUUAUAUAUACAGUUCCAGUCAAAAGUUUGGACACCUACUCAAAAAGGGUUUUCUACAUUGUAGAAUAAUAGUGAAGACAUCAAAACUAUGAAAUGACAUAUGGAAUCAUGUAGUAACCAAAAAAGUGUUAACCUGUUGGGGCUAGGGGGCAGUAUUUUCACGGCCGGAUAAAAAACGUAGCCGAUUUAAACUGGUUACUACUCUUAUCCAGAAACGAUAAUAUGCAUAUAAUUAGUAGAUUUGGAUAGAAACCACUCUAAAGUUUCUAAAACUAUUUGAAUGGUGUCUGUGAGUAUAACAGAACUCAGGCAGGCCAAAACCUGAGAAGAUUCCAUGCAGGAAGUGCCCUGUCUGACAAUUUGUUGUCCUUCUAGGGCAUCUCUAUCAGAAAUACAGCAUCUCUGCUGUAAUGUGACAUUUUCUAAGGCUUCCAUUGGCUCUCAGAAGGCGCCAGAAAGUGGAAUGAGAGCUCUGCAGUCUCUGGGCGAAAAACAGCAGGAGUUUUUGUGAGUGGUCAGGCAGGGAACACUGACACUGGAGCGCGCGUGCACGAGAGGACUCCAUGUUUUUCUUUCUCUCUUUGAACGAAUACAACGUCGCCCGGUUGGAAUAUUAUCGCUAUUUUACGAGAAAAAUAGCAUAAAAAUUGAUUUUAAAAAGCGUUUGACAUGCUUCGAAGUACGGUAAUGGAAUAUUUUGAAUUUUUUUGUCACGAAAUACGCACGAACAAAACGGAGCUAUUUCAAUAUAACUAUGGAUUAUUUCGAACCAAAACAACAUUUGUUGUUGAAGUAGAAGUCCUGGGAGUGCAUUCUGACGAAGAACAGCAAAGGUAAUCCAAUUUUUCUUAUAGUAAAUCUGAGUUUGGUGAGGGCCAAACUUGGUGGGUGUCAAAUUAGCUAGCCGUGAUAUCUACUCAGAAUAUUGCAAAAUGUGCUUUCGCCGAAAAGCUAUUUUAAAAUCUGACACCGCGAUUGCAUAAAGGAGUUCUGUAUCUAUAAUUCUUAAAAUAAUUAUGUAUUUUGUGAACGUUAAUCGUGAGUAAUUAAGUAAAUUCACCGGAAGUUUGCGGUGUGUAUGCUAGUUGCUAGUUCUGAACAUCACAUGCUAAUGUAAAAAGCUGGUUUUUGAUAUAAAUAUGAACUUGAUUGAACAAAACAUGCAUGUAUUGAUUAACAUAAUGUCCUAGGAGUGUCAUCUGAUGAAGAUCAUCAAAGGUUAGUGCUGCAUUUAGCUGUGUUUUUGGUUUUUGUGACAUAUAUGCUUGCUUGAAAAAUGGCUGUGGUUAUUUCUGGCUAUGUACUCUCCUAACAUAAUCUAAUGUUUUGCUUUCGCUGUAAAGCCUUUUUGAAAUCGGACAAUGUGGUUAGAUUAAUGAGAGUCUUGUCUUUCAAAUGGUGUAAAACAGUCCUAUGUUUGAGAACUUUGAAUUAUGACAUUUUGUGGUUUUAAAUUUGGCGCUCAGAUGUGUCACUGGCUGUUGAAUAGUGUGGGACGAUUUCGUCCCACCUACCCUAGAUUAAGCAAAUCAAAAUAUAUUUUAUAUUUGAGAUUCUUCAAAGUAGCCACCCUUUACCUUGAUGACAGCUUCUACAGUGGGCAGACAGGUCAUGUGGAAGCUGCUACAGCGGGCAGACAGACAGGUCAUGUGGAAGCUGCUACAGCGGGCAGACAAACAGGUCAUGUGGAGGCUGCUACAGCAGGCAGACAGACAGGUCAUGUGGAGGCUGCUACAGCAGGCACAGACAGGUCAUGUGGAGGCUGCUACAGCAGGCAGACAGACAGGUUUCCUAGAAGGACAGAAUGUGUUUCUGGGAACCAGAUGAAUGCCAGUACAUGUAUAUUAUUCUUAAUAUGUAAUCAGUGCUAGAGAGGGUCAAUACAAACCCGUCAUAGAAUGAAUGGGCAACAAUGAGUUGAGGAGAAAUACAUUACACUAUAGUACAACUAUAGUCCUGAAUGAACCGUGUAGCUAAUACAGUACUUAUGCUUAUAACCAGCCUCAGCAGAGGGCGAUAAACAGAACAGGGUAGUGUAUUCAUCCACUUGUGGCAUGACAGUCAUCUACUGUAAUUAUAUUUACUGAGGUGCACCAAAGGACGAAUAGCAGAGGAAAAAAGCUUCCCCUAAGGAUAGAGCACAGAUAGAGGGGGGAAGCAGUAGAGGGGGGAAGCAGAUCUUAUUGAAGAAAGAAAAGAGGGAUGGAGGAAUGAAUAACUGCAGACGUAUAGCUGCAGCAAGCCAGACAGAACCGCUUGUGUGUGUGGAUGUGUGUGUAUAUGUGUGUAGCACUAAGCUCCUGAACUGACCCCCAGAGAGAGAGUACAGAGGGAGAACCAGUCAUGUGUGGAGAACACACAGCAUUGGAACACUAGAUCAAAUGAACAGCGCAGAAUCGCCUAAAAUGCAUGAAUCCAUUUGGCUCCCCGGGCCCCGCCCCCUCGGUCUCUCUCUCUUCUUUCCUCACUCCCUCCAUCCCUCCACUGUGCCAGUCUGAGUGCAGGUCAGAUGAGGACUGUUAUCAGCGCGCUCACAGAAACAGCUCUUAGCUCUGCUUUGUAACACGCUUUUUUUCCCCAGUUUUCAUCCACAUGCACACAAUUUCAGGGACAG